Molecule: ribosomal RNA, 425 nt
Filed under: uncultured bacterium
Lineage: Bacteria
Description: partial 16S ribosomal RNA
Rfam family: Bacterial small subunit ribosomal RNA
Source: RNAcentral
GUGAGGAAUUUUCCGCAAUGGGCGCAAGCCUGAUCCAGCCAUGCCGCGUGAGUGAUGAAGGCCUUAGGGUUGUAAAGCUCUUUCGCCCGCGAAGAUAAUGACGGUAGCGGGAGAAGAAGCCCCGGCUAACUUCGUGCCAGCAGCCGCGGUAAUACGAAGGGGGCUAGCGUUGUUCGGAUUUACUGGGCGUAAAGCGCACGUAGGCGGAUCGUUAAGUCGGGGGUGAAAUCCUGGAGCUCAACUCCAGAACUGCCUUCGAUACUGGCGAUCUUGAGUCCGGAAGAGGUGAGUGGAACUCCUAGUGUAGAGGUGGAAUUCGUAGAUAUUAGGAAGAACACCAGUGGCGAAGGCGGCUCACUGGUCCGGUACUGACGCUGAGGUGCGAAAGCGUGGGGAGCAAACAGGAUUAGAUACCCCAGUAGUCC